AAUAUCUUUUUUAGCUCACCUGGCCUAAAAGGCCAUGUGAGCUUUUCUCAUCACUUGGCGUCCGUCGUCGUUAACAAUUUUUCAAACAUCUUCUCCUCUGAAACUACUGAAUGGAUUUGAAUGAAACUUAGCAUGAUUGUUCCUUAGAUUAUCCUGCACAAAGUGUGUGCUUCGAUUUUUGAUCCGUCAAAAAACAUGGCCGCCGUUACUUAUUUUUCAGAUGAAUCAAACAAACCAUUGUUGGGUUGCUGCCACUUAAUUGGUAAUUUUAAGGAAAUUUUGCAGUUUUUGGUCAUUAUCUUGAAUAUUAUUAUAGAUAAAGAUAAACUGUAAACAGCAAAAAUGAUCAGCAAAGUAAGAUCUACAAAUAAGUUAAUAUGACCAAAAUUGUCAAUUGACCCCUUAAGGGGUUAUUGUCCUUUAAUGACAAUUUUUCACAAUUUGUUCAUCACAUUUGCUAACUUUAAAAAAUCUUCUCCUCUGAAGCUACUGAAUGGAUUUAGAUGAAACUUAGCAUGAUUGUUCCUUAGAUUAUCCUGCACAAAGUGUGUGCUUCGAUUUUUGAUCCGUCAAAAAACAUGGCCGCCGUUACUUAAAAUAGAACAUAGGGGUCAAAUGCAGUUUUUGGCUUAUAUCUCAAAAACGAAAGCAUUUAGAGCAAAUCUGACAUGGGGUAAAAAUGUUCAUUAGGUCAAGAUCUAUCAGCCCUGAAAUUUUCAGAUGAAUCAAACAAACCAUUGUUGGGUUGCUGCUACUUAAUUGGUAAUUUUAAGGAAAUUUUGCAGUUUUUGGUCAUUAUCUUGAAUAUUAUUAUAGAUAAAGAGAUAAACUGUAAACAGCAAAAUGAUCAGCAAAGUAAGAUCUACAAAUAAGUUAAUAUGACCAAAAUUGUCAAUUGACCCCUUAAGGGGUUAUUGUCCUUUAAUGACAAUUUUUCACAAUUUGUUCAUCACAUUUUGCUAACUUUAAAAAAUCUUCUCCUCUGAAGCUACUGAAUGGAUUUGGAUGAAACUUAGCAUGAUUGUUCCUUAGAUUAUCCUGCACAAAGUGUGUGCUUCGAUUUUUGAUCCGUCAAAAAACAUGGCCGCCGUUACUUAAAAUAGAACAUAGGGGUCAAAUGCAGUUUUGGCUUAUAUCUCAAAAACGAAAGCAUUUAGAGCAAAUCUGACAUGGGGUAAAAAUGUUCAUUAGGUCAAGAUCUAUCAGCCCUGAAAUUUUCAGAUGAAUCAAACAAACCAUUGUUGGGUUGCUGCCACUUAAUUGGUAAUUUUAAGGAAACUUUGCAGUUUUUGGUCAUUAUCUUGAAUAUUAUUAUAGAUAAAGAUAAACUGUAAACAGCAAAAAUGAUCAGCAAAGGAAGAUCUACAAAUAAGUUAAUAUGACCAAAAUUGUCAAUUGACCC
Molecule: long non-coding RNA, 1402 nt
Filed under: Mytilus galloprovincialis (Mediterranean mussel)
Lineage: Eukaryota; Metazoa; Mollusca; Bivalvia; Mytilida; Mytilidae
Source: RNAcentral